GUCGGGAGUCUUGCACAAUGGGGGAAACCCUGAUGCAGCGACGUCGCGUGUGGGAUGAAGUAUUUCGGUAUGUAAACCACUUUUGCGGGGGGCGAAAAAAAUGACGGUACCCCGCGAAUAAGCCCCGGCUAACUACGUGCCAGCAGCCGCGGUAAUACGUAGGGGGCGAGCGUUGCUCGGAUUGACUGGGCGUAAAGCGCGCGUAGGCGGUCCAUUAAGUGUGCGGUGAAAUUCGGAGGCUCAACCUCCGUCCCGCCGCGCAAACUGACGGUCUUGAGAUUGGGAGGGGGAUGCGGAAUUCCUGGUGUAGCGGUGAAAUGCAUUGAUAUCAGGAGGAACACCGGCGGCGAAAGCGGCAUCCUGGCUUAUAUCUGACGCUGAGGCGCGAAAGCGUGGGUAGCAAACGGGAUUAGAAACCCGUGUAGUCC
RNAcentral lists this ribosomal RNA (428 nucleotides) under uncultured bacterium. RNAcentral's name for it is "partial 16S ribosomal RNA". It matches the Rfam family "Bacterial small subunit ribosomal RNA", at positions 354 to 796 of the family's 1533-position model. The record is from RNAcentral.